GAAUCUUGCGCAAUGGGCGACAGCCUGACGCAGCGACGCCGCGUGCGGGAAGAAGGCCUUCGGGUUGUAAACCGCUUUCAGGAGGGACGAAGCCACUCGGGUGAAUAGCCCAGAGGGUGACGGUGCCUCCAGAAGAAGCCCCGGCUAACUACGUGCCAGCAGCCGCGGUAAUACGUAGGGGGCAAGCGUUGUCCGGAUUUAUUGGGCGUAAAGAGCGUGUAGGCGGCCAAGCAGGUCCGCUGUGAAAACUCGAGGCUCAACCUCGAGAUGUCGGUGGAAACCGUUUGGCUAGAGUCCGGAAGAGGAGAGUGGAAUUCCUGGUGUAGCGGUGAAAUGCGCAGAUAUCAGGAAGAACACCCAUGGCGAAGGCAGCUCUCUGGGACGGUACUGACGCUGAGACGCGAAAGCGUGGGGAGCGAACAGG
This 424-nucleotide ribosomal RNA is filed under the name uncultured bacterium. Its description in RNAcentral is "bacterial SSU rRNA". It matches the Rfam family "Bacterial small subunit ribosomal RNA", at positions 359 to 776 of the family's 1533-position model. The record is from RNAcentral.